This 1132-nucleotide non-coding RNA is filed under the name Desulfuromonas sp. SDB. Its description in RNAcentral is "partial 23S ribosomal RNA". It matches the Rfam family "Bacterial large subunit ribosomal RNA", at positions 1089 to 1881 of the family's 2925-position model. The record is from RNAcentral. Lineage: Bacteria; Pseudomonadati; Thermodesulfobacteriota; Desulfuromonadia; Desulfuromonadales; Desulfuromonadaceae.
ACAGCCAGGAUGUUGGCUUAGAAGCAGCCAUCAUUUAAAGAGUGCGUAAUAGCUCACUGGUCGAGUGGUGAUGCACCGAAGAUGAUCGGGACUCAAGCAUAUAACCGAAGCCUCGGUACAGCACCUAUUACUAAUUUUAAUCAGUUACAACAAGGAGACAUCAUGUACUACGUAUAUUUAUUACAGGAAAUUGGAAGGGGAAGACAUUACAUAGGUUAUACCAAUAAUCUAGAACGACGCUUAAUAGAACAUAAUCUUGAGCACAAUGGUUUUACUGGCAAAGGCCAGUGGACAUUAGUAUAUUUUGAAGCAUAUCUAUCAAAAGAAGAUGCCCAAGAGCGAGAGAAGAAGUUAAAGCAAGAUGGCCGUUCGAGACGCUAUGUAAUGGAGCGCAGCAAGCGUUCCCAAUAUAAAUUGAAAGAAACAAUAACGAGUUGAAAUUAGUAAUAGGUGCUGUAGGUAGGAGAGCAUUCCAUACAGCAUAGAAGGUAAGUUGAGAGAUGAGCUGGAGCGUAUGGAAGAGACCAUGCCGGCAUGAGUAGUGAUAAUGCAGGUGCGAAACCUGCACACCGUAAGCCUAAGGUUUCCUGAGUAAAGAUAAUCUUCUCAGGGUUAGUCUGUCCCUAAGGCGAGUCAAGCGAGCUUGAGUAGUUGAUGGGAAUCAGGUUAAUAUUCCUGAACCUGCUAUAAUUAGUGAUGGAGUGACGCAGUGGUGCUCCGGAGACGGGUGUUGGACGUCCCGUUGAACACGUGUAGGUUAGGUCAUUGGCAAAUCCGUGAUCUUUUAUCCGAGGCGUGGGACGAGAGCUUUAAGCUCUAAAGUCCGGUUAUACACACUGCCGAGAAAUAGCUUCUAAGCGUUUGAAGUUAUAGCAGUCAGUACCGCAAACCGACACAGGUAGGCGAGGAGAGUAUCCUCAGGUGUUCGAGAGAAUUCUGGUUAAGGAACUCGGCAAAAUGACCCCGUAACUUCGGGAGAAGGGGUGCUUCGUUAUCGUGAUAGCCAAACGGCUUUAGCGAGAAGGAGCCGCAGUGAAGAGGCCCAAGCGACUGUUUAUCAAAAACACAGGUCUAUGCGAAGACGCAAGUCACGGUAUAUAGACUGACACCUGCCCGGUGCCGGAAGGUUAAG